GAUAGGAUGGCUGAGUUAGGCAUUAGACUGUAAAUCUAAAGACAGAGGGGACGCCUCUUUCUAUCA
RNAcentral lists this transfer RNA (66 nucleotides) under Varecia variegata (ruffed lemur). RNAcentral's name for it is "tRNA-Tyr". It matches the Rfam family "tRNA". Rfam says of the family: Transfer RNA (tRNA) molecules are approximately 80 nucleotides in length. Their secondary structure includes four short double-helical elements and three loops (D, anti-codon, and T loops). Lineage: Eukaryota; Metazoa; Chordata; Mammalia; Primates; Lemuridae. RNAcentral also lists the same sequence under 2 other names. The record is from RNAcentral.